This 829-nucleotide ribosomal RNA is filed under the name uncultured bacterium. RNAcentral describes it as "bacterial SSU rRNA". It matches the Rfam family "Bacterial small subunit ribosomal RNA", at positions 104 to 915 of the family's 1533-position model. The record is from RNAcentral.
GGGUUAGUAACGCGUAGGUAACGUACCUCAGGGUUCGGGAUAACUCAUCGAAAGGUGGGCUAAUACCGGAUAUUAUACCGACACGCCUGUGUUGGCUAUGAAAGACGGGGACCUUCGGGCCCGUCACCCCGAGAGCGGCCUGCGUCCUAUCAGCUUGUUGGUGAGGUAACGGCUCACCAAGGCUUACGGGUAGCCGGACUGAGAGGUUGACCGGCAACACUGGGACUGAGACACUGCCCAGACUCCUACGGGAGGCUGCAGUCGAGAAUCUUUUCCAAUGGGCGAAAGCCUGAGAAUGCGACGCCGCGUGCGGGAUGAAGGCCUUCGGGUUGUAAACCGCUGUCAGGGGUUAGGAAGUGCGGGUAUGUAAAUAGCAUAUUCGUUUGACCGGCCCCAGAGGAAGCCAUGGCUAACUCCGUGCCAGCAGCCGCGGUAAUACGGAGAUGGCAAGCGUUGUUCGGAAUUACUGGGCAUAAAGAGCACGUAGGCGGGUCUGUAAGUCAGAUGUGAAAUCCCUCGGCUCAACCGAGGAAUUGCGUUUGAUACUGCAGUCCUUGAGUGCAGGAGGGGAGAGUGGAAUUCCUGGUGGAGCGGUGAAAUGCGUAGAUAUCAGGAAGAACGCCGGAGGCGAAAGCGACUCUCUGGCCUGUUACUGACGCUGAGGUGCGAAAGCCAAGGGAGCGAACAGGAUUAGAUACCCUGGUAGUCUUGGCUGUAAACGAUGGGCACUAAGUGGAGGGAACUCUGAUGUUUUCUCUGCUGAAGCUAAUGUGAUAAGUGCCCCGCCUGGGGAGUAUGGCCGCAAGGUUAAAACUCAAAGGAAUUGACG